Molecule: ribosomal RNA, 155 nt
Filed under: uncultured bacterium
Lineage: Bacteria
Description: partial 16S ribosomal RNA
Rfam family: Bacterial small subunit ribosomal RNA
Source: RNAcentral
AGGUCAGCAUACUGCCGUGAAUACGUUCCCGGGCCUUGUACACACCGCCCGUCACACCAUGAGAGUUGGGAAUACCCGAAGCCUGUGAGCUAACUGUAAGGAGGCAGCAGUCGAAGGUAGAAUCAAUGAUUGGGGUGAAGUCGUAACAAGGUAAC